This 62-nucleotide transfer RNA is filed under the name Pseudocellus pearsei. RNAcentral describes it as "tRNA-Thr". The record is from RNAcentral. Lineage: Eukaryota; Metazoa; Arthropoda; Arachnida; Ricinulei; Ricinoididae.
GUUUAAAUAGUUUAUAAAUAAAACACCGAUUUUGUAAAUCGAAAAUAAUACUUUUUUAAACA